Long non-coding RNA from Anolis carolinensis (green anole), 1658 nucleotides. Lineage: Eukaryota; Metazoa; Chordata; Lepidosauria; Squamata; Anolidae. The record is from Ensembl.
CAUGGCAAGCCCCUGGGUUCUCCAUUUUCUCUCUCAUGUAAGCAUGGAGGAAGACAAGAUGCAUCCUGAGAGUGAGAUAGUUAGAAAACAGGCCCUUACCUUCCUAUCUAGAAAUGUAGUUCUUGAAUAAAAUAUUUAUUCAAGUAUAACUUUUAAAGUGAUGGGCAAGCUUUUGCGCUUGGUGUGUCAAAAUUCACCAAAAAACCUAGCAUGACUUGGGUGGUGUGUCACUUUGAGAGAAAAAAACAUAAUUUUGAAAUAUGUAUAGUUUAAAUAACAAAAAUGCAUAAUUGUAAUAUAUAACAGUAUUUAAUAAAUCAAAAACUAUUUACUACCCUUAUUUCCAUGUACAACUAUGUAUGGUACCUCUUGCAGUUUCCACACUGAUUUCUCUCUAUUCUAGUUUCAAUGUAGUCAUGAAUAAUGAAUAAUAUAAUAGUAAUAAUAUGAUAAUAUACUACAAUAAUAAUAGAAUAAUAAUAGAAUGAUAUUAUAUAUAUAUAUAUAUAUAUAUAUACACACACACACACACACACACACACACACAUACAUACACACACACACACACACAUAUAUAUAUAAACUAGCUGUGCCCGGCCACGCGUUGCUGUGGAAUUGUCUGGUGGUGUUGGUGAGAACUUGUUGAGGUAGUGGUGGUACUGAAUGUCUGUUGUAUGGUUGUCUUUAUGUUUUGUAUGUACACUGAAGUGGAUUAUAUGGCAGUGUGGAGUCAAGAUAAUCCAGUUCAAAGCAGAUAAUAUAAGAUAUAAAUGGGUUAUAUAGCUGUGUGGAAGGGCCUUGAGUCUACACUGCCAUAUAAUCCAGUUAAAAUGUGAUAAUCUGUGGAAGAGGCCUAAGUGAGGCCUAACUGGGCUGAGUAGGUGCUAGGAGACCAAGUGGGCGGAGCUUAGCCUUCAAACUGGCAGCAAUUGGAUAAAAACUAUUAUUCCUCUCCCUGUAAUUAGGACUUUAUUUUUCUUUUCUUUUUGUUGUAUCAACCUAGAGCCGUGAAUGAUGGGUUGAUACAACAAAAAGAAAAGAAAAAUAAAGUCCUAAUUAGAGGGAGAGCAAUAAUUGUUUUUAUCCAAUUGCUGCCAGUUAGAGGGUUAAGCUCCGCACAUAGACCCCCUCUAUCCUCACCACUUUCACAGUACACCAACAACCAAAUGCAUACUAAACAUAAAGACAACCAUACAACACACAUUCAAUACCACCACUACCUCAGCAAUUUCUCACCAACACCACCAGACAACGCCACAGCAACGCGUGGCCGGGCACAGCUAGUACUGUUAUAUAAUCCAGAUUAUCAAAGUAGAUAAUCCAGAACUGGAUUAUAUGAGUCUACACUGCUAUAUAAUCCUGUUCAAAGCUGAUAAUCUGGAUUUUAUACAGCAGUGUAGAUGUGUUAACAGUCUUAAUAUAAUUUAGUUAUGUGCUACUCAUUGCAGAAAGGAAUUAUAAAUAUCUUAUUCAUCAUUGGUAGUUAGUUACUGCUCAAGUAGUGGGUGUUUAUUAAGGAUCCUGCUGCAAAUACAGUAGAGUCUCACUUAUCCAAUGUUCUGGAUUAUCCAACACAUUUUUGUAGUCAAUGUUUUCAAUAUAUCAUGAUAUUUUGGUGCUAAAUUAGUAAAUACAGUAAUUACUACAUAGCAUUAAUG